Long non-coding RNA from Ictidomys tridecemlineatus (thirteen-lined ground squirrel), 8803 nucleotides. RefSeq lists it as uncharacterized. The record is from RefSeq and is a predicted model, not a curated record. NCBI's taxonomy places the organism in Eukaryota, Metazoa, Chordata, Mammalia, Rodentia, Sciuridae.
AAUAUAGAUUAAUAUUUUUACUCAUUAUUUAAAUAUAAUAGACUAUCCUAUGUCAUUAUUUUGUAAAAUGCUACUUUUAGAGUGAGUUUAGUCCUUCAAAGUCUGUAGAAGUAUAACUUAAAUGUGUAGAAGCAAAGCCCACUUGCUUUUGAACUGUGAAGAUUAGCAUCUUAUUAGCAUUUGAUUUACAAAUCAGUUCACCUCCUAGUGUAUCUCUGUAGACAAGAUCCUUGAUUGAUAGAUGGAGUGCUUUUUUAAGAUUCAGUUUUCAGGGUUGGGAUAAGUUCUCCAAAGGAAGCUGUGCAAACAUAAAAGCUUCUUGGAAUUGGUCUAGAUCCACACCAGUGAUGGACUAAAGAGGUUCAUCUCACUCAAGGAGAGAGGCCAAGGUCAUGGACAGAAGGACAGGGCCACAGGAGAGCGAAGAGUGGCUGGUGAGGUGGCAAAGGAAAGAAUAAUGAAAACGUCAGGCUUCAUGAGGAAACCAGCCAGUCAAAUGGAAGGUGCAAAGUAUUUCAGACCAAGAUUCUUCAGCCAAAAUCCAAUUAGUAAUCAAGGUGGAACAAUUGCUGAGGGAAUUGACAACUCUAAGAAAUGGUCUUGGCCCACAGUCCAUACAAAUAUUUCAAUUUCAAAGAAUAUUAUGUUCAAUUUUAAAAUGGCCUUUUGGAAAAAAAACCAGGAAAAUCUUAUUAACUUUGGCAGUAUUCCUUCAAUACAAAUAAUAGAAUUUCUUUGAAGAAAAUAAAAACCUAGGUCUAUUGCUUAAAAAAAAAUCAAAAACAAAACUAAACAAAAAAACCUUGAGCUGGUUUAUGUGUUGACAAUGGCCUUUGGCACAAAGCAUUCACUAGCUUUUUAAAGUCCUCUACUAACUACAGGAAAUAUCUUCAUGAGAUCUGGUCUACUACACAAGCACAAUGUUCCUUCUUGAGUGGAAUUCCCAUUUAUUUUAAGAAGGAGUAAUUUCAUUUAUAGGAAAGGAUAGAGAAGUUUGUCAAAAUUUUCAGGUAUAUAAGCAUCAGUUACUAGACUGCAAAUUUUUGAAAUGUUGCAUCCCAUGUUAAUGAAUUCCAAAGAAAAACAGCUGACUUUAUGCAUUUAUUUUAAUAAGGCUGUGAAAACAGUCCAUUUACAGUGUAAAAACCCCUUGUCUUUUAAAAAUGCUAGACAGAAUAUUUUAAUAAAUUAAAUUUGUCUGCCUGUCAAAUCUGUCAAAUUGACAAGAGCCCUCAAGGAGUAUUGCUGAUGUUGUAGUUCUAUUUUUCCAAUAGGAUUACAUUCAGAAUUUAAUAUGGGCUGCUUAGAUGAAGAAUCCUUCCAUCAGAGUAAUUUUAAGUAACAACACUAACAUAAUAUUUUAAGCUUCCAACCUCAUAGGGCCAGGGUGAUUUUGCUUCCUCUGAAAAAUCUUUUAUUAUCCACAAGAGUGUCUUGAAUAUUAUGCUGUUUACAAUGAUGAAAUAAUUUAAGAAGACAAAUAAGUUUUCACCAUCAGAAGUUUCACCAUUGACAUUUGAUCAGAGGUAUGUAGUUUAUGUAGUCAGCUGUCAUUGGGACAGCCGACCUUGGGACAGCCAGAUCUUAGGAACCCAGUGAACAGAUGAGACCAUGGAGUCUUGGUGGGCACAAACCCCCAGCUCAAGAUCACAUGACUUGCAAUUAGCAAAACCAACCCUUUAAUUCAGGUGUUCUGAUACUAAAUCGUUAAAUUUCUAGUUACAUUUCUCUGUCUUCCUGAAAUAAUCAAAUGUUUCUUUUUUUCUCGUAGAUAAAACCCACUUAAUGUCUCCAGUGAGAAAAUUCAUGCCAAUUUUCUAGUAGCAGUUGGUUAAUGAAGUUUGUUACUUCUUCAAAAUAAUGUACCUAAAAGAAAAAAAGGUAAUAAGAGUGUCAAACAAACCCAAACUCUGAAAUAACUGUAAAACAUGAAAUCAUCUAGACUUGAUUUUUAGCCUCCUGGAAUGAAAUUCUCAAAUAUGUGUCUAAAAUUUGAAAAUGGAAUCAAGCGUCAACCUUGAGAUUCUUUGUUUUUCAUUCUGAACUUCAGAAACAGAGAUAAUAUUCUUGGUUAAUAUUUCAGGGAAUCUGUGUCUUUCACUAGGUUUCCAAUGUAGUUCUCAGAGGACUUUUGCAUUUAUUGUUUAAUAAAUAUUAUGUUGCUUACACAUAUGCUGUUUUAACAUUGGCUAUUUAAGCAUACAUAAAUAUAUUAAAUAUAUAAAAGAAUCUCAAGAUUGGUAUUAACACCCAGUGGAGUUUGACUCAGCUAUUAAGAAGAAUGAAAUUACAGCAUUUGCAUAUAAAUGGAUGGAGCUGGAGAACAUCAUGGUAAGUGAAAUAAGCCAGACUCAGAAAGUCAAAGAUAGAAUGUUUCUUCUCAUAUGCAGAAUCUAGACCAAAAUAAGGAACAAGAGAAGGCAGGUGAGGGACUUCAUGAAAAUAGAAAAUCCACCAGUGGAGCCUAUAGAGAAAAGAGAUUGAGUGAGAGGGAGAAGCCAUAGGAAAUGGGAAGAAUGGCGGAAUGAAUGGACCAAACUAUCUUAUGUACAUGUAUUAAUAUACAACAGCGAAUUUCACCUUUAUGUUUAUCUAUAAAGCACUAAUUUAAAAAACUAUAAAUAAAUAGAAGGAAGACUAUCAGAGUAGUGGAGCAGGAAUAGGGGAAGACGGAGAAGGAGGGGGUAAAAAAGAAGGUACUAAGGACUGAAUUGGGGCAAAGAAUAUUCCAUGUUUGUAUAAUUAUGUCAAAAUGAACCCCAAUAUUAUGUACAACUAAAAUGCUCUAAUAAAAACAUUAUGUUGCUCUCUUGUGGUAGGGAAAUGCCUUUCAAAAAUAAAUAGAACAAGAAAAAAAAUCAAUGCUUAACAUGUUUACUAAUUUCUUAUAAGUCAAAACUUCUGUUUAAAAAAAAUAUGUAUGUGAUUUCAAUUAAAUUUCUCUGGCAACAGUGUGAAGUAGUUUUACAAAACAAAGCUGUGUUUAGUGCCCAGACAGGACUAACAGCAGGGUAAUGACAUGAGUCAGGCCUGGCCCAGUGCUGGCUGGAAGAUCUAUUUCUAGGCAUAAAGAGGCCUUUCAACUUUGCUAAGAGAGCAGUCCUGUGAGAUGCUGCCGUGAAUCAAUGUUUAUCCACGGCCUGUUUCAUGAAAGAAUAUCUUGUGACUCAACAUGUGGCAUUUUGCUUUCUGAAUGAGAUUAGUUAUUCCUCAUGAACCAUGAACUGACUAGGGAUCAAAAUAAACCCAAAUAAAUUGAAUCCAGUAAAUAAAUCGUCUAGUGGAAGAAAGAUACAAUGGAAAGAACAUUGGAUUUUGAAAACAGAAUGACUAUUAAGCUCACUCGCUGCUUUCUGGCCAUGUGAUUUGGACAGGUCUCUGUUGUGCACUCCAUUCCUUCACCCUUGGACAGGAACUCACAGCCCCUCACUCACAGGGUCAGGAUGAAUUUGAAUUAAAUGUCUACAAAACAUGAAGCAGACAUGAACUGAACUAAAUUAAAAUACUAAGUAAAUUUUCUUUUACCAUUGAGAUUACGGGCUUCCUAAUUCUUGAACAUGCUUCUUCUCUACUUAGUAAAUUUUCGGAGAGCAUGGGUCUUGCAUUACUCAUUUUUCAUCCUCCUUAGCAGAACCUAUAAUUCUAAAACUUCUUGAUAAAAGCUAAAGGCAAGUAAACUCUGAUAUUAACAGGUCCUCUGAGGUUGAUGAAAACAAGAUAUUUCUUUAAAUGAAUUACUUGACAUGGACUGAAUAUUCGUGUCCUCCCCCUCGGGUCCAUAAGUUGAAAUCCUAACCUCCAAUGUGAUGGUUUUAUAAACUGGGGACUUUGGAAGCUAUUAGAUCAUGGGGAAGAGCCAACAUGAAUGGGAUUGGUGGCCUUAUAGGCGACUCCAUGAGAAGAUAGCGACCUACCCCCUGGAGAGGGCCCCCAUGACAAGGUGACAUGAAUUUCUCACGUGAAUAGGCCUUUCAGCUGAUGGUACCUUCUUGUAAUGAUCCAAAUGGACGAGAACACUAGAGUGCUACAGAUGAGGAAGUGUAAGGAGCCCCUCCUAAUGCUCUACUCAGUUAUUGCCUGUAAGUUGCCAUGAACCCUAAAACCAGUGCCCAGGGCUGAGCUCCCAUGGUCAGGGGGUUCUACAGACAUUGUCCCCCUUCCUCCAGAGAGAACCACUUACUUCACUCUUCUCUGUGCUCACUGCUUCUGGGGCCCUGCCUGAUGAUUGCAGUUAACUUUGCCCUUGGAGCCACAUUGCACAGUUUAUCACGGGCGCACAGUGGAGGGGAGUCUUCCAUGAUUGACUGAUGAAAGGGAUGCUUUUACUUGUGUGUUUACUCAGACUCUGAAAACUAAGAGGAAACAUAAACAAAUUGUAUGCUUCAAUGGGCAAAGGCAUCAGCUCCUCACAGAUUCAGUCUCCCCUUUUGAAUCCCUACCUAUUUCAUAAGUACAGCAGUUUUCAACUGCUUUAAAUUAUUGGGGAACCCAAAUAGCUUUUGUUUAUGUAAGUUAUAUCUGUCAGUAUUUGCCAUGAUAACAUUAAUACUGAUACAUUUUAAAAUAUUUAUUUAUUAAUGUAUUUAAAAGUACUAAUUAUAAACCCACUACAUAUUGUAUAAAUGAUUCUUUUUUAAUAUAAAUGACUGUUUUCCAAAAGGAAAAGUCAUAAAAGUGACACUGUUGUACAUUUUUUUUUGCACAACCCUUUAAUUUCUUCCUUAAUAAAAGAUAAAUGGAGUCUGUGUCUAUUUUGACACUUAACUUGUUCACCUAGAAUACAUCAUGUGACUUUUACAAACAUCCUUUAAAUACUUGUGCAAAAAUUAGAGUAGAAAAGUCAAAUCUUAGAAUCCUGAAAAUAGCUUUGACCUCAUGCACAUGCAAAGGAACUCAGGGACCCCAAGCUUCUAGGAGGAUACUUGGAGACACAGUGCAACAGAAUCUUGCCUGAACUUCCAACUAGCUGCUUCCAGUUCUCACACUGAGGAUAGUCACCUGCCAAGUCAGAGAAAUACACAUGUAACAGGAAUUAAAUAAUAUAAUCAAGUAAUAAUAUUUUUUAAUACCCCAUUUAUUCAUGAAAGUGGUUCCUUCCCUGUGGCCGAAUGAAAUCAGACAGGUUCAUUAACUUUUUCUCUUCUCUUUUAGGUAACACAAAGUGCUACGGUGCUUUUAAGUUGUGAAACACAGUCUCGGUUCGUGCUUGGAAACAAUAGACACUUACAGUGCCAAUUUCCAGCUUAAUCUACAGACGCUUGCUUCUCUCCCAAAUGGGAGCAGUUAUCUACACUUUCCCCAUCUUCAUUUUUUGCUCCAGGUUGACUAAAGCUUCCAACUAGUGCAUAUGAGUGGGGGUUGCAGGGGUGGCAGAUGUGGAGAGGAUGGUGGAGGAAGGCUGGCAAAGCAGUUGGGAAGUGUAUGACUUCAAUAGCACCUUCAUAAAAAGGCUCUGUGCUUCCUGUGCUGGGCAGAUUUUUACAACACUCCUCCUUCAAGGCCUAAAGUUCCUUUUAAAAGAGGUCCUAAGGAACAGGUGCACCUCUCCCACCACGUGGGGACAUAGUGAGAAACCUCCAUCUGGAAUCAGGUGGUCACCAGACACUAAAUCUGCAGGCACCUUGAUCUUGGACUUCUCAGUUUCCAAAAACCAUGAGAAAUAAAUUGCAUUGUUUAUAAGCUAUCUAAUUUAUGGUAUGUUUUAAAUAGCAGCACAAAUAGACAAAGAUAUUGUUUUAACAGUGGUCUAAACAAGUUCUCUGCCAUCCCAUUAUGGAUUUGUCUGGUUCUCAUUGGAGUCCCCAUUUCUUUUUUAUCUCAGUGACAUAGUCAAAGCCUCCACAGUAACAUCCUCUCAUUUAAAGAAACCACCAUCCACUGCCUGCUACCCGGUUCAGGAGCUCAGAGGGCCUUGUAAUUUGUCCUGUCUCCUUAAGCUUAGAAACUAAGUACCGACAGCUCAUGAUUAGUUAUCUUUCUUAGGUUAUUUGCAUUUAAACUGGGAGCAAUAAUUUCUUUUCCUGGUAGAAUUUGUCUUACAUUUUUGAAAGUAAUAGCUAUUCAUUAAAUUACAUUUGAAAAUGCAGGAAGAAAGGAAAAAUUGGCUACAGUCCUAUCACACAUAUAAAACCACUAUUCACAUAUGUGUAUUUUUCUAUAAUAAUAUUUCAAAGCAUGCUUCAAUUUCAAUUGAAUGCAUAUAAGUACAAUUUCGUACCCUACAUUUUACUUUUUAAUAUGCUAUAAGCAUCGCCAAUGUCAAUACAAACUCCAUGUAAACAUGAAUUUAAUGCUAGCAAAGUAUUAUGUUAAUAGAUAUGCCCUGGUUUCUUUAAUCACCAUCUUUAUUAUUAAAUACUUGCAUUGUUUACACUUUUUAAUAUUAAAAACCAUGCUGCAAAGGGUAUCUUUGAAUAAACAUUUUUUCCUUAUUUUGAGUUAUUUACGUAAAAUAUGCUUCUGAGUGUGAAGUUAUUGGGUAAAUGGAUAUAAAAUAUUUUUGAUUCAUAUCCCACAUAACUAAUUUUGCAACAGGCUAUGUGUCUGUGUUUUUGGCAUAUCAUCAUCAUUGAUCUCUGCAACCCCCUGAUCUUUAUUGAUUGAUUGAUUUCUUUGAUUUCCUGUCUUCAUUCCCAUUACCCUCACCCUCAUUACAAAACAGCAGUCUAAUGUGCUUGAUACGUAUCCCUUUAUAAGCGUGUGGUCACAUAAGUAUGCAUUUUUAUUUUGUGUUCACAAAUUUUAAAUGUGCACAAAUUAUAUUGUUCUAUGGACUGCAUGUGGUUUCUUACUUUUUUUUGUCACCCAUCACUGAAUUUUUAAGACCUACCAAUAUCAUUCUGUGUAGACCUACCACCAAGUGCUGCACGCCUUUCCAUGUAAGUCCUAACUAACCGACAAUGUCCUAACCCUAACUCAGGGGCUUCCCUAGGGGCUUCUAACUCUGCACUAGGACAAAUGCUGGAAUAAACUUCCUGUCUGUGCCUCCUCCAAGACCUGUGUCCUCUAAAAGUCCAUGUUGGAAACUUAAUUCCUCAAUGGGGCCAUGGAGCCGGUGCUUGGGUCAUGAGGUGGAUACUCAUGACUGGGUUUGUGCCUUUCUCGAGGCAGUGAGUUCUUGCUCUUGAGAACUGCAUCAGAUACCGUGGGUUGCAAAGUGAGGUCACCCCAUGUGUCUAUGAUGUUAUACAUAAGGGUGGCAGUUACCUUUCGGAUAGAUACUGCUUUAUUUCAGUGACCUUAUUGAACGGGAGGGACAGUAGGAGGGCCUCUCAGGCACUGAUGACAUUCUAUUCCAUGUAUAUUGAAUAAUUGACAAUAUAAAUGAAACGCUAGAUGAAAUGCAGUGUGAGUUAAACUGAACAAGUCUUCUUGAGCUGGAGAUGUGGGCGGUGGCUCAGGGUAACGCACUUGUCUGACAUGCCUGAGGCCCUGAGUUUGGUCCUAGCACAGGGCGGGGGGUGGGGGGGGGCUGGCUUUUCCUUGUGUUAGUAGACAUGAGGAACUGUUUCUUCUGCACCAUUUUGUCUUGCUUUUGCCCUGGUUCUGCCCCUGAUGAACUAUGAAAUUUUCUUGGCAAGUCACUUCCCACUUUGAAUUUUCUGUUUCUAAUUACUCAGAAAUGGAAGCUGAAUUAAAUAAUCUUUAAAUAUUCUCCACAUCCUGUAACUCUAUAUUAUAAAACCAAAAAUCACUUGGAUUUUUCUUUCUUUUUGGUCCACUUUUGUUGAAUGUUAGGAAUUUCUUGUUUCUUUUGUUGCUCUUUAUACUCAUGCAGCAACUCUCCAAUUAUCUUGGCUUUUCUGCCAGCUUUCCCUAAGAUCCUGUUAACACAAACUGCCUGUGCCAAUCAAUAGUCAUUUUUCUCAUUCUAAAUUAGGCUCUUUUUCUGGUUUACACUUCAGCUUUUCAAGAGCAUUGUAGUUUAUUUAGAGUGCUAUAACAAAAUGCCACAAACUGGGUAGAUAAUAAAGAGCAAAAAUUUAUUCCUUACAGUUCAGAGGCUGGCGAUUCUAAGACCCAAGCAGAUUUGAGGUCUGGUGAAGGUCCAGACCUUCAGAAAGUUUGUUUGGCUUAAAUCGAUACCAGCUUAAAUCCUACAAAAAAGAAAAAAAAAACUGAGAAAUAGUUCCUACUGACUCCAUCAAAUGCCCAGCUCUCAGAAAACCACAUUCUGGACCAUAAGGACAUUCAAUGAGAAUUUCAAAUCUUCCACAAAUGGUUCCUGACUUCAAAUGGUACUGAAGUCUCUAACCCUUCUCACCCACGCACCACUAACCAUUCUCUCUUCCUAUAGUAAGAGCAACUCUAAUGUUGACCCGUCUACACAGCUUCCAAGAAUAAACACAUGUGUCUAUUUGUCCUCUUCACCCAGCUGUGCUCACGUGAUGAGGUCCUAACAAUAAGAGGAACUGGGCACCACGACUAGUGUGCAUCUGUGACAGUGAUAUUGAAGUAGGCAACUGCAUCACCCUAUUUCCUAAGCCUACAGAUGUGGUGUUGAAUCCUUCUGACCCGAAGAGCAAAUACUGGAUCAAAGUGCACCCUUUUCUCCUCUUUGAAACUUGGCUCCGUACCUUGCAGGAGGUCCAAGAGAAAGAGAUCAUCAGGCCUGCUACUCAAAUUGACGUUGCACAUCUGCAGUUGAGCCAAUUUACCACAGUCUGGACUUGCUGGAGGACUAUUUUCAGAAAAGUGACAGAAAAUGCUUGGGAGAGAGAACAAUUAAAAAUGUAAGGGUUAAUCUUCUCAAAUCCUUAAUACCAUGCAUUAAGGAAAUAAAGAGCCUGGUUCUUGGAAUGGA